This 608-nucleotide ribosomal RNA is filed under the name Cryptopone sauteri. RNAcentral's name for it is "12S ribosomal RNA". The record is from RNAcentral. Lineage: Eukaryota; Metazoa; Arthropoda; Insecta; Hymenoptera; Formicidae.
AUUAAAUUAGUGCCAGCAAUUGCGGUUAAACUAAUAAUAUGAAGUAAUUAUAAUUAAAUUAUUAAUUAGUGAAUUGAAUAUAAAAAUUAGUGGUAUAAAAAUUUUUUAGUGAAAUAUAAAUUUAUAGAAUAAAAUAAUAAAAAAUUAAUUAAAAAAUUAAAAAAAAAAUUAGGAUUAGAUACCCUAUUAUAAAUAAUAAGUGUAAUUUAUUUAAUAAAUUAAAUGUAUAAACAUUAAAAUAAAAAAAUUUGGGGGAAUUUAAAAUAUUUAGAGGAAUUUGUUUAAUAAUUGAUAAUCCACGAGUGGAAUGACUUAAUUUAAAAUUUUAUAUAUUGUUGUUUAAAUUAUUUUUAAAAAAGAAUAAUUAGAUAAAUUUAAUAAAAUUAUAAUUCAAAUCAAAAUGUAGAAUUAAUAAGAAAAAAAUGAGUUACAGUUUUAAUAAAAUAAUAGAUUAAUGUAUUAAAAUUAAAUAAGUAAAAUGAAUUUAAAAGUAAAUUUAUUAAAAUUGAUAAGUUGAAUAAAAAUUUUAAGUUACUACAAAUUGCCCGUCAUUUUCAAUUAAUUUGAAAAAAGUCGUAACAAAGUAGAUUUACUGGAAAGUGUAUCUA